Molecule: long non-coding RNA, 3675 nt
Organism: Myotis lucifugus (little brown bat)
Lineage: Eukaryota; Metazoa; Chordata; Mammalia; Chiroptera; Vespertilionidae
Exons: 3
Source: RefSeq, a predicted model, not a curated record
AACCCCGAUGUGCCAGCCAUCCUGGUUUUACUACGGCUCGGGGAAGCUCGCGCUACUAUUGUUCGUGUGUGUUGUGAUGCGAAGGGUGGGAGACUCGCAAACCUCCUACCUCAGGCCAGGUUCCCUGCCUGGCGCUCAUCCCUCGGAUUUGGAAUUGGCGACAGAUUUGCUGCCGUGAUUUCAUGGACUGUUAUGUACGGUUUCUUAUUUGCUCUUAAUGAUGGGAUCAUGUGCUCAACUGUCAUAAGUUUAGAUCGGGUUUUGCUAUGCCCUAAAAAAAAAAAACACCCACUAAAGUUCCAAAAUGUUAAUGUUUAAUAUCUGUUCAGUAUUCACCGGCUCACCCUGAGAAGGCCACUAACGUGCGGUGGUGGGUGGGGAGGGGCCGCUGUCUCGGGUUUAUAUUUGGAGCAGUGCAGCGUGGUGAACUUUGUGUGUGUGUGUGUGUGUGUGUGUGUGUGUGUGUGUGUAACGGUUUUGUGAGGGCCGGCAGCCAGAAAGUAAAUUCAUUCGUGCCAAUUUCAUCAGCAGGGAGGAGCCGAUGUUGACUUUAUGCUUUCCUUUUUAACACUUGCAGGGCGCAGAAGGGAAUAAAGGAGGGGGCUGUGGCGUGGUGUUAGCUGCCUUUCCCGUGGUCCACGGACUAUGUCUCUAUAUCAGAUCUGGGGGUUCUGCAGGGUAUCCCAGUGAUCUGUAAUGUUAAACAGCCCCAUAGCAGAAGGAGGCUGCUUCCUGGACUCUGUGCUGCGCAGACACUGUUCCACCUGGUUGAAGAUGUGAGGGCGUCGCUAGUACCCCAGAGGGCCCAGAGGCAGGCCAUACAGAGUACAUACAGGGGGAACACCGUUGAGAUGUACAGUGGUGGGUAAAGUGUGUGCUGUGGACAGUGCUCGAGGGGAUGAAGUCUGUAUUAGAAAACCUUUGCUGGAGUUAUUUGAUUGUGUCGAUGCUCAGAUGGGUUUUCUCCCUCACUCGUCAGCCCCUCAGAGCUCUAGUCUGUCAUCCUCACCGCUGUUGUAUGAUUCCCAGCACCCAUCACCCAUGCAUCAUCUCAAACAAGCAGUUCUGCUCUGUCUGCAUCUCUUCCAUCAGGACUCACGGGGAGAGGAUUCUUUAAAUUAGUUUUCAUGGAAAUAUCGGGAAAUAUUGUGGAAACACGUGGAAUUUUCAGUGCCCAGUUCCUACAGAGGAGGAUGGAAAAAACAAGUCCGUUUUAAGUGUCAUCACGGUAUCUCUGUUAGCAAAGGGGAGCCCCUGAACUCCACAGCACUGCUCACCUCCCCCUGUCAGCCUGGGAAAUAAGCGCGUAUUUGCCUCUCUGAAUCUGGGGCAGUGCUCUGAAUGUGCGUCCCGGCCCCCUCCUAUGCUGGGAGCGGUCACUCAUGGUCCCUUACGAACGUGUACAUGGGACACACUGCCCGGCUCGAUGGCACUCACCUGCCACCAGCUGUCGCUCUCGGAGGGUGAGUAAUAUGUUCCUGCUGCCCAGAGGAUGGCAAAACCACUUUAGACCAACGUGUGCUCAACCCCAUUCUCUGAACAGAUUUCAUAAAAGGGCUUAAUGAAUUUCUUAUUGAGUGUCUGGGCAGAGAAAGGGAUGUGUGUGUUUGCAUUCAGGAAGCACAUUAUUGUUUUUCUUUCUACGUAAACCUUGCUAGGCCUGGCCUGAAGAAUGAAAGAAUCAGAGGUUUGUGGCAUCGGCUGGUGUAGCCUCAGCCCCUCUGUGCCACCCCCACCCCCUUGUCUUGCUUUGUCCCUGCUGAGUUGAUAGAGUUGCUCUUUAAGGUCCUUUGGAAUUUCAGGUCUUAUAAGCACAUAAGUGGCUUAAAUGAGAUGAACCAGUUUGUUUUCCAGUAUUGCUUAGGAGAAACCAAUGAGUGGAAGGAUCAGAAAUCUGUAUCUCUCUACAUUUUGGAACUUAAAAAAUGCCCCAGCAUACCCGCUUCCACAGUGAAAAGUUAAAACCAGCCUUCGCGCCGAAUUACUUAAGUAUAUUGCUUUCACAUUUCCUGUUCCAUCAGGACUCAUGGGGAGAGGAUUCUUUAAAUUAGUUUUCAUGGAAAUAUUGGAAAAUAUUGUGGAAACAUGUGGAAUUUUCAGUGCUCGGUUCCUACAGAGGAGGAUGGAAAAAACAAGUCUGUUUUAAGCACAUCACGUCGGUUGAAAAAACAGGGUGGACUAUCAAAGUUCUUACGUGGCCUGUGGGCGGUUAAUGGUGCUCAUUAUUGGGAUUUGCAGACAGUGGCCCUGCUUUGGUUGCACUGUCUGCUGGGUAUUGCUAUCGAUGCUAAUAUUAUUUUGUUUUGGGGGGCCAUUGCCUGCAGAACUCAGGGUACAUUCCUGCUCUGCCGGUUGCCUCCUUGUUUCACUCUGCUGUGUGUUACGACCCAGUGCUCCCCUCACUGGGGAAAGCCAGCGCCUUUCCCUUAGAACAGCCUCGUCAGCAGAGAACAGGAGCUGUGGCAGGCGGCCCCGCCUGUGGGUACUAGCAGCUACAGUCGGUGUUGUGGGGCCAGGGAUGGUGGGUCUGCUCAAAUACUUGGGAUUGAAUGUGCGACGGGGAGGAAGCCAGCCAGUGAGCGGUCCGCUGCAGGAUGCCAGGUGGAGUGGCCGACACCCCUUUUCCUAGAUCAUUCUUUCUUCCCUUCUUUUGCCUUUUGGGAUCUUGCAUUUUUCUUCUUGGCUUUAAGAGGGCCCCCAAGUAGUUUCAUUAAUAAGUGAAUAAGCAUUUGGCUUAAGGAGUAACUUUAAAUGGAAAUACCAAAGUAGAGAGGAAACAGAAAACUUCUCAAAGACAGACUUGACUUGUUUAAAACACUCGUUUGUUGAUUGAGAUUGAGCAGUAAGUUUCUCUGUGAACGGAUGAUGCUCGUUUCUGGGGCUCUGCGUGCCCUGGACUUGCAGCCACAGGAGGCACUCGCCCCCCUCUUUCAGGAGUGGCUGGGCUCUUCUUUGGUAGAACUAGGGACGUUGCCUUGUGAUAUAGCCUGCGAAAGAUUUGUUGUUUGCACAAGAGACGUCUUUAUAAAAUAUACGGCAUGUCAAACCCUUUGUGGCUUUAGUUGUUGGUAUAACUACUUACUCCCUACCUUCUGCUUAUGGGGGUUACUCAGCUCAUGGCCUGCUUGGCUGAUUAAUAUGCCCAGUUACUUUACCUGCUCAUUUUAUUCCAUCAUAGAGUCCAACUCGAACAUUUUCUUAGUAAGUACGAAUCUGCUUGAGGAAGGAGGUGAAUGCUAACUGAAAUGUCGGCCUUUUGUGCUAGUCAAGGAACCAAUAAUUUUUUUAAAAAAAUUGCAGAUGAGCAGCGCACAAGCAGCUGGCACAUUCCUGUCGCCAAAGCCUAAGGUCUUCAUGAGAUGGCAUUUGGAAGCCCCUGUUCUUUCUUUGGAGGUCCCUGAUGCUACAGAGCUAACAGCUCUGCGGAAGCUUAAAGCGUAGGACCACCUUCCGAGGUUGGAACUGUUUCUGUGCCUAAUGAAGAGAUUAAAGACCAUGGGCAGAUCUAGCUAGUUGUGUCAGCACCAGAGCCAGGGAUUCCUUGCACACCCGUCCACAAUCACGCACAAUUAUUAUUAUGUUUUUACUGAAUUGUUUAGUUAGUCAAGUCAUAGAUUUUUCUAUUUAUUAGAGAAAAUUUGUAACAUUUAAAAUAAAAAAACUGCCUGAACAUCU